GGUGAGUGUGCUGUGUACAUCUGAAGAAGAUAAAGCACCCGAGGGACCCGUCUGCCGGCGUGUAAUCUGCACAUUCUAGCCUGAAACCUUUCACUCAAUAUAAUGGAUGAUUUCAUCUGACCUGCAUAGGUUCUAGCUGCAUCUUCAACUUGUCCUCAGGUAACAUGCAGAAAUGGGGGAGUUACUGUACAUUACUGUACAUUCAGAAUGGAAAGGUUCGCCAAAUAUUUAAAUGUUAAAGAAUGCCAGAAAAUGGGGCUUUUAACAGAGAAGCGAAAAUAACAUUAAAUGGCAC
Long non-coding RNA from Bufo bufo (common toad), 295 nucleotides. RefSeq lists it as uncharacterized. The record is from RefSeq and is a predicted model, not a curated record. Lineage: Eukaryota; Metazoa; Chordata; Amphibia; Anura; Bufonidae. The transcript is spliced from 3 exons.